This 367-nucleotide transfer-messenger RNA is filed under the name Helicobacter sp. It matches the Rfam family "transfer-messenger RNA". Rfam says of the family: Bacterial tmRNA, also known as 10Sa RNA or SsrA, is named for its dual tRNA and mRNA-like properties. Its role is to liberate the mRNA from a stalled ribosome. RNAcentral also lists the same sequence under 3 other names. The record is from RNAcentral. Lineage: Bacteria; Pseudomonadati; Campylobacterota; Epsilonproteobacteria; Campylobacterales; Helicobacteraceae.
GGGGUUGAAAAGGAAUUCGACAGGAAGUGUAGAAUCUAAGUGCAUGUGAGCCGGUAAGCUCUAAAACUGCCAAAUAGCAAUAAACGCAAACAAUACAAAUUACGCUCCAGCUUACGCAAAAGUAGCGUAAGUCUUAUUUCCUUUGGGAGCCGACAUUUCUAAGAGUUCUAGCCUUUUAGAUUCUGUCGUCACUAUGCUAGAUGCUUGCUAAAUAUGUCUUGGUUUAGCAAAAAGACAAAGAGACUGCUUGUCGUGUAGAGUUUGGGGGUUUUCUCUUGGGACAAAAAGAUAAAAAUCCUAUCUAAACAUGUAGAGUCUUAGUGGAAAUGCUUUUUGGACUGGGGUUCGAUUCCCCACAACUCCACCA